GCUCUAUCCACGUACUGCUGGCAGGGGCCUCACCAAGCCCCUUCCCAUGCCCUCAAAGAUUUGGAAGUCUUCCCGAAGGAAAGAAGGAGGAAAACCCUCAUGUGAAAGAGGGACCGGGGAAGAGCGUGUCCUCUGGCUGCAAAAUAUUAGUGCUCAGACUAUCAGGGUGCAGUCAUGCUCUGCUACCAAUGUACUGCAUGAUCUUCAACAAGUCAUUCCAUUUUGGAAAAACUGCAUAAAAUUGCCACCAGGAUGUGAGCUCCUCCUCAAAAUCAGAUCCAUAUAGAGGUGAUGUGUCCAGGACCACUGAUCUCCCGACCCAUACUCCUUGAGGGGCCUCUCUGAAGCAUGGAUGUGUGGCAGUGACCCUAUGGAGGUGCUUAACCUCAGUCCUUACACCCAAAAUGGAGGAGACCCUCUGGAUCAGGUCAACCUUUUAUCUCCAGUUUUCAGAGACUUUGUUAGAGGACAGGUGUUUCUAAUGGUAUUUCUCAAGGCACAGCAAGCAAGACACAUAUUCCAAAGACACAAAAGAGUUGUUCAAGCUGUGCCAUCUUUUACCUUGAACAGGAAUGUUCACAGUGAUGCUCUGAAAUAAAUUCCACUCUGAGUGAUUAUUUCCUUAAAAGUGAGGAAUAAGCAAUAUUUUUUUUUCUUUUUCAAAACACUGGAGGCCAAAGGGAUAAGGUAGAACUUUUCUUGCACUGAAGUUGAUUUUAUUAGUUCUCAAGUAAGCAACUAGUUCAGAAAGUAAAGAAGAAAAUUGAUGAUCCACAUCUUUCAAAGGCACACCACGGUUCUCGGCGUUGC
This is a long non-coding RNA of Aquila chrysaetos chrysaetos, 810 nucleotides long. RefSeq lists it as uncharacterized. The transcript is spliced from 5 exons. The record is from RefSeq and is a predicted model, not a curated record. NCBI's taxonomy places the organism in Eukaryota, Metazoa, Chordata, Aves, Accipitriformes, Accipitridae.